AUUCUCUCUAAUGACUGUCUCCCUCGCUGGAUGUGAUGAAGUAGGCUACAUUAUGCAGCACCCCAUGAAACAAAGAAUUGAGUGUGACCACCAGGCAACAUCUGGCAAGGAACUGAGUUCCAACAGUGCACAAGGAAGUGAAUCCUGACAACAGUCCCAAGAGCUUAGGAGUGAAUCCUUCUCCACUCCAGCCUCAGAUAAGUCUUGCCCUUAAUUGCAGCCUCAUGAAAGACUCUGAAACCUUGGGCCCAGGUAACCCAUGCCAAGAUUCCUGACCUGCAGAAACUGUGGGUCAUCAAGCAUGUUCUUUCAAGUCUCUACAUGUGUAGUAAUUUGUUAUGCAGCUUUAGAUAACCAAGAGAUGGAACAAUUGGAACUGCCCUACAGUUACGGUGGGGCAUAAAAUGACACAAGCAUUUUGGAAAACAGUUGGGCAGUUUCUUAUAAAAUUAAACAGACACUUACCCUAACACCCAGCAUUGUGCUCUAGGUAUUUACCUAAGAAAAAUAAAACGUGUUUAUACAAAGACUUAUACAUGAAUAUUUAUAGCAGUUUUAUACAUAAUAGCCUACAAGUAGAAACAACUCAAAUGUCCAUCCAAAGACAAAUAACUAAAGUAUGGAAUAUUCAUACAGUAAAAUACUACUCAGCAAUCAAGAGGAAUGAGCCACUAACACAUUCAACAACAUCGAUGAAUGUCAAAAACGUCAUGUUGAGGAAAAGACCCCAGACAUAAAAGAAUAUAUUAUAUAUUAGUCCAUUUAUAUUAAACUCUAGAAAGCACAAAUCUAAUCUUUGAUCAUAGAAAAUAGAUCUGUGGUCAUCUAAAACUGGGGGUGUGAGGUCAGGAUUGACAGCAAAGGCUCACAAGCCUGACUUUUGGGGGUGGUGGGCAAGUUCUACAUCUUGAUUGUGACAGUAUUUACAAUCAACUGUCAAAACUCAUGGAGCUGUUCACUUAAAGUUGGUAAAUUAUAUUUUAUGUAAAUUUUUCCUUGAUAAAGUUUUUUUAAAUGAUCUCAAGGUGGAUUAAAGACUUAAACUGUAAAACUCCCAGGAGAAAACAUACAGAGGAUCCUUCAUUAUAUUGGUAUUGGCAGUGAUUUAUUGGAUAUGAUGCCAAAAGCACAGUACACAAAAACAAAAACAGAAUACAGCAACGGAACAAUUAACAGAGUGAAAAAGUAACCUGUGGAAUGGGAAAAUGGGAAUGCUGUUCUGCAUAGCAACGGAACAAUUGGCAGAGUGAAAAGUUUCUUGCAGCUUGGUGUGGUGGAUCUCACCUGUAAUCCCAGGACUUUGGGAGGCCGAGGCAAGAGGAUUGCUUGAGACCAGGAGAUGAAGACCAGCCUGGGCAACAUAAUGAGACCCUGUCUCCACAAAAAUAAAAUAAAAUAAAAUAAAGAUAAAAAUAAAAAAUUUAAAAAUAA
This 1431-nucleotide long non-coding RNA is filed under the name Homo sapiens (human). RNAcentral describes it as "novel transcript". The record is from RNAcentral. Lineage: Eukaryota; Metazoa; Chordata; Mammalia; Primates; Hominidae.